GGGGAUUAGAGGGGCUAAAAUCAC
Molecule: microRNA, 24 nt
Filed under: Zea mays
Lineage: Eukaryota; Viridiplantae; Streptophyta; Magnoliopsida; Poales; Poaceae
Description: microRNA miR-3195
Source: RNAcentral